This 468-nucleotide ribosomal RNA is filed under the name uncultured bacterium. Its description in RNAcentral is "partial 16S ribosomal RNA". It matches the Rfam family "Bacterial small subunit ribosomal RNA", at positions 28 to 507 of the family's 1533-position model. The record is from RNAcentral.
GACGAACGCUGGCGGCGUGCUUAACACAUGCAAGUCGAACGGAAAGGCCCUGCUUUUGUGGGGUGCUCGAGUGGCGAACGGGUGAGUAACACGUGAGUAACCUGCCCUUGACUUUGGGAUAACUUCAGGAAACUGGGGCUAAUACCGGAUAGGAGCUCCUGCUGCAUGGUGGGGGUUGGAAAGUUUCGGCGGUUGGGGAUGGACUCGCGGCUUAUCAGCUUGUUGGUGGGGUAGUGGCUUACCAAGGCUUUGACGGGUAGCCGGCCUGAGAGGGUGACCGGGCCACUUUGGAACGGGGUUCCGGCCCAGACCCUUAUGGGGGGAGGAGGGGGGAAUUAUGCAACAUGGGCGGAAGCCUGAUGCAGCAACGCCGCGUGCGGGAUGACGGCCUUCGGGUUGUAAACCGCUUUCGCCUGUGACGAAGCGUGAGUGACGGUAAUGGGUAAAGAAGCACCGGCUAACUACGUG